Molecule: ribosomal RNA, 499 nt
Filed under: uncultured bacterium
Lineage: Bacteria
Description: bacterial SSU rRNA
Rfam family: Bacterial small subunit ribosomal RNA
Source: RNAcentral
AGAGUUUGAUCCUGGCUCAGGAUGAACGCUAGCGGCAGGCCUAACACAUGCAAGUCGAACGGUAACAUUUCCAGCUUGCUGGAAGAUGACGAGUGGCGCACGGGUGCGUAACGCGUAUGCAACUUACCUAUAACUAAGAGAUAGCCCCGAGAAAUUGGGAAUAAUACCUUAUAGUACCAUGAUUUGGCAUCAUUUUAUGGUUAAAGAUUUAUUGGUUAUAGAUGGGCAUGCGUCCCAUUAGUUUGUUGGUGAGGUAACGGCUCACCAAGACUGCGAUCAGUAGGGGGUCUGAGAGGAUGAUCCCCCACACUGGUACUGAGACACGGACCAGACUCCUACGGGAGGCAGCAGUAGGGAAUAUUGGUCAAUGGGCGAGAGCCUGAACCAGCCAUGCCGCGUGUAGGAAGACGGCCUUCUGGGUUGUAAACUACUUUUAUAUAGGAACAAAUAGGUCAUGCGUGACAAGUUGAGUGUACUAUAUGAAUAAGCACCGCUAACU